CCUUGAGUGCCUGGGACACAGCAGACGCACAAUACAGGCAGCCUUAAAUUCUACCAGGGAGGCCAGGAAUGGCUGGGAGGCCUGUCCUCAUGACCUGUCAGAAGCUGGAUUGGAAGAGAGGACUUCUGGGCUCUGCAACUGAUGCCACAGGGGCAUGACUUUGCAUUACCUGGAGCCAGUUUUUCCCUCCAGAAAAUGGGCAUAAGGGUGACCCAUUCAAGCCACCAAAAAUAACGUACCACUUACAAAGCCAACCUCUCUAACUGUCCUGGGCUCACGUGACAUUUUGUCAAGAGCCCACCAUGUCCUCAGUGUGUGUGGGUCCCUGAGGGGCAAUCUCACUCCUCUCCCCUUCCAGUCACCCCGCACUGUCUCCUCCUAGAGCUGUGACCACCUGGGAAAACAGGACAUGAACACAUGAAGCCAUGGUGAGUCAGCAGAUGGCGUGUCGUUCUGUCUGAGCAUGGCAGGAGGUCAGAGAAGGGAAAGCCCCGAAGAUGCCAGAAUACAGAGCCCUGGCCUCUACCUCCCAGCAAGAGCCGGACCCAGCCUGCAAGCAUGACCAGCAUGAUUUCUGAUGAAGCUCCCAACAGCAGUGGCUUUCCAGGCUGCCCGGCCCAGGACCUGACUCAUGGAAAUCCCACCAGGUAAAAGACUUUGGCCCUAGGUAAGUCCUGAGUUUGAUUCCCAGCUCUGUUGGGACUACUAGUCAGGGAUGAUGC
This 722-nucleotide long non-coding RNA is filed under the name Rhinopithecus bieti (black snub-nosed monkey). RNAcentral describes it as "lncRNA (ENSRBIG00000045660.1)". The record is from RNAcentral. Lineage: Eukaryota; Metazoa; Chordata; Mammalia; Primates; Cercopithecidae.